RNAcentral lists this ribosomal RNA (271 nucleotides) under uncultured bacterium. RNAcentral's name for it is "partial 16S ribosomal RNA". It matches the Rfam family "Bacterial small subunit ribosomal RNA", at positions 524 to 794 of the family's 1533-position model. The record is from RNAcentral.
UACGAGGGGUGCAAGCGUUAUUCGGAAUCACUGGGCGUAAAGAGCGCGUAGGCGGUUUGUUAAGUUGUUUGUUAAAUGCCUUGGCUUAACCAAGGAACUGCAACCAAAACUGGCAGACUAGAGGACAAGAGAGAGAGGUGGAAUUCUCGGAGUAGCGGUAAAAUGCGUAGAUCUCGAGAGGAAUAUCGGUUGCGAAGGCGGCCUCUUGGCUUGUAUCUGACGCUAAAGCGCGAAAGCGUGGGGAGCAAACAGGAUUAGAAACCCUAGUAGU